CUUGCUUCUGUUACAUAUGGAUGUUUCUGAACCUAAAUAGAAUCCUGAUUUAAAGCCAAAACUGAGUCAGAAUAGCCAUAUUGCUUUUUUUUUCCCCUCUUCUUGGUUGUUUUGUUUGGUCACUUGGUUGAAUUCUUUUAGAGAUGGUGUCUCACUACGUUUCCCAGGUGUAUUAGUUUGUUUUCAGGGUACUAAGACAGACCAGAAACUGGGAAGGAAAAGAGGUUUAACUGGACUUACAGUUCCACAUGACUGGGGAGGCCUCAGAAUCAUGGCGGGAGGUGAAAAGCACUUCUUAACAUGGUGGCAGCAAGAGAAAAAUAAGGAAGAAGCAAAAGUGGAAACCCCUGAUAAACCCAUCAGAUCUUGUGAGAUUUAUGCACUAUCACAAGAAUAGCACAGGAAAGGCUAGCCCCAUGAUUCAGUUACCUCUCCCUGGGUCCCUCCCAUAACACAUGGAAAUUCUGGGAAAUACAAUUCAAGUUGAGAUUUGGGUGGUGACACAGUCAAAUAAUCAUUCCGCCCCUGACUCCUCCAUAUCUUAUGUCCUCACAUUUCUAAACCAAUCAUACCUUCCCAACAGUCCUUCAAGGUCUUAACUUAUUUCAGCAUUAACCCAAAAGACCAUAGUCAAAAGUCUCAUCUGAGGCAAGGCAACUCCCUUCCAUCCAUGAGCCUGUAAAAUAGAAAGCAAGCUAGAUACAGUGCUGGUAUAGGUAUUGGGUAAAUACAGCCAAUCCAAAUGGUAGAAAUUCACCAAAAUAAAGGGGUUACAGGGCUCAUGCAAGUCCAAAAUCCAGCAGGGCAGUCAAAUUUUAAAGCUCCAAAAUGAUCUCCUUUGACUCCAUGUCUUACAUCCAGGUCAUACGGAUACAAGAGAUGGGUUCCCGUGGUCUUGGGCAGCUCUACCCCUAUGGUUUUGCAGGGUACGGCCUCCCUCCUGGCUGUUUUCAUGGGCUGGCAUUGAGUAUCUGUGUCUUUUUCAGGUGCACAGUGCAAGCUGUCAGUGGAUCUACCAUUCUGAAGUCUGGAGUUGGAGGAUCUACUAUUCUGGGGUCUGGAGGAUGGUGGCCCACUUUUCACAGCUCCACUAGGCAGUGCCCCAAAGGCCCACAAAGAUAAUAAAGAAAAGAGAAAAUACGUAUGAUAAUCAAGGUCUUAGAGAGAGUGGAUCACAGGCCAACCACAUUUUCAUUUUUGAAGAAGUAAUUCUGAAAGAGAGAUUUCGAAAUUGGUUGGAAACAUGAUUUCUAUCUUCACAAGACUCUGUAAGGAGGUAUAUGUUCAAUAAUCAAAGUAAAUUUUAAACAAUACUGAAAAAAUGCAAUAUUCAUUGUGUGCUACAUAUACACUAUACACUACACUAUAUACAG
Molecule: long non-coding RNA, 1373 nt
Organism: Callithrix jacchus (white-tufted-ear marmoset)
Lineage: Eukaryota; Metazoa; Chordata; Mammalia; Primates; Cebidae
Source: Ensembl